This is a long non-coding RNA of Passer domesticus (house sparrow), 1858 nucleotides long. RefSeq lists it as uncharacterized. The transcript is spliced from 4 exons. Lineage: Eukaryota; Metazoa; Chordata; Aves; Passeriformes; Passeridae. The record is from RefSeq and is a predicted model, not a curated record.
AUUUCUGGCCUCCGUGCUGGAGCAUGCAGGGCUGGCUGCCACCAGGCCCUGGUCUGCCUUGCCCUCAGCUAACCCAGCACUCCCCAUCCCGUUUCCUCCCACAACAACAGCUUUAAUAUUUUAAAUAUUCAUGCUUCCUGAGCAUCCUCACCAGGACUGUGGCUUUGCUUGCCUUUCACAUCUGUUACUUCCUGAAGCUGUAGAACAGAGCAUAUGCAGAAAUAGGAAUGAGAUGAGAGGAGAUGGACUGCAAAUACCUUGGAUGUGAAGAAAGCUGAGCUCAUGCAAUGCUGGAAAGGAGAGAAAAGGAGAAUUUAUAAUUGCACAGCCCAAGAGUAAAACUUCAACAGCUCUUAGCCACUGUGUAGACAUGAAAAUCAAUCACCAACAGUAGCUCUGUCCUUAGGAAAGCUGGGUUCAUUAUACCCAGCUCUUAUAGAACAUUAAUUCUCUCUUAGAGGGAUUUACUGGCUCUACCUUUGCCAAUAAAUAAAAUAGAUCAAGGCUUUUUAUUCUGUCCAGAAUGGACAAGCUGCACAGGUUUCAUUCAUGAAAUUAAAAUUUCCUUCCUCCCCAAAUCUAUCUGAGCUUAUACCAUUUUAUGGGACUUUCCUGUACCCAGGAACUUAUUGGGAGGGUGAGUCAAAAAGCACAAGUGCAGAGCAGCAGCUGAGCUGUGUCCUUGUCCUUUUUGGUGUGCUGGUGUGUAGAUUGGGUCAUCCUAAAUUUAGUUAUCUAAACAUAAAUCUCAACUGCAUAAGCUCUAUCCCUGUGUUAUUAAUUACUUGAUGUAAACUUAUUGCAUCUGCAGGGUUACAGGAAGUGUAAGUGAACCUAACCCUGAUGACUUUUCUGCUUCUUUAAAUCCAGGUCAGUGGCAUCUUCCAUCCCUGGUGUUUUCUGAGCACAGGCACAGCUGUUCUGCUGCUCUCUCCUUUGCUUUCUGGAGAGUUCUUGAUGUUUGCAGCCAGCUUCUUUCUUCCCAAACCCCCUUUCCCUCCAUGAAUUAUAGAAUUGCUCUUAUUCUCUUGUUUAAAAUGAGAUUCAUGUGACCAUAUCUGAGUAAAUGCAACUUCACCUUUCUCCUCCUUUCUGCUUUAGAGAUUCCUAACCUCAAACCUACCACCAGGAUGUGAUGACUAGCAUCAUUUUCCCUGCUGGGUGGGUAGGUUGGCAUGAUCAUUUUAAUUUCUUUAGCUCCAUUUGGAAAAGAUUUUUGGAAAGUUUGUUUGUUUGUUUUAAUUACAGAGCCACCAAGAAGCUGAACUCAGGUGUUUUCACCAGACUUUGGGUAUCAAAUUUCUCUGCAGCACUUCCAUGUCUGAGGUCAGUUGUCCAGGUUUAAGGGCUUGCAGGUCUUCCCAGGAAAGUCUCCAGAAAGGCGAUUUUCUUUCAAAUCUGCAGUCUGAUUUCUUCCACUCUCCAAGUCCUGAUCCACCCAGCGAUAGAAAUGUUUUCAAGACUUCUGGUAAAGCUGGGCUUGGAAACCCACCAUGGACUUCUUGUGGCUGCUCAGAAAGUUCUAAAGCAUGAGAAGUCUCAUUUCUGCACUCAAAAGGGGAGGAGAGGCAGCUAUUUCUUUUUGUUUUGUGUUUUUUUCUUGUAAAAGAGAUCAGUUUACCCUGAUUUUACAGGAAUAGACAAGUGAUAUUUUUGAUUGAGGUACACGUUGUUGAUUGUUGAGUUUUUCCUCCUUCCUCUAAUAUGAUAAAAUAAAGCACAAUCCAAUGGCUGCCAAGGCAGAGCAGCCUUUGGGAUGCAAAGGUCUCAAAUUCAGGACUCUAAGUGUAUAUGUUACUUGCUAAAUUUGCUGUACAUAUCUUCCCUCACAUAUUCCACUUAGCAAAAAGCACCCUCA